Notothenia coriiceps (black rockcod) is the source of this 259-nucleotide long non-coding RNA. RefSeq lists it as uncharacterized. The record is from RefSeq and is a predicted model, not a curated record. The transcript is spliced from 3 exons. Lineage: Eukaryota; Metazoa; Chordata; Actinopteri; Perciformes; Nototheniidae.
UUGACGUAGAGCUGUUGAGGCAUGGAGAGGUGAUAUACAGGUGAAGAUUGUGGGACGACCAGACCGUGUCCAUUGGAGCUACAGCGACAUUGUGUUUUAUGGCGAGGGAUGCGUUUCUAUGGCAACAGCCUAUGGUGAGAUGAGAUCUCAGAUUUGGCGUAAAGCUGUUGAGGCAUGGACCGGUGAUAUACAAGCGAAGUUUGGGGGGCGAUCGGACCGUGUCCAUUGGAGUUAUAGCGACAUCGUCUUUUAUGGCGAG